RNAcentral lists this long non-coding RNA (305 nucleotides) under Ananas comosus (pineapple). RNAcentral's name for it is "long non-coding RNA (ACOM_LNC009449)". The record is from RNAcentral. Lineage: Eukaryota; Viridiplantae; Streptophyta; Magnoliopsida; Poales; Bromeliaceae.
AAGGUUACUGAGAAAAAAAAAAUUAUAUUUUAAAUGACGCUCUAUUCUAUCAUCUUUAAUAUUUGGCAUAUGCAGACACUAUGAUUAAGCGUCAUCAAUAAAUAUAUUUUUAUCAAAUACUGAUAAAAAUUCUCCGACGUUAUAUUAAAGUGUCGGUAUAUUUAUCCCGACAUGUUUACUUAACGACUCUUUGUUCGACGCUUUUACAAGCGUCAGAGUUAUUAUUGCCGACGCUUUGAAACGUCGCUAGUUAUUAUAUAAAGUGUUCUUAAAUAUAAAAUUUACGAAUUAGAAUAUCUUCCUAC